Gossypium arboreum is the source of this 779-nucleotide long non-coding RNA. RefSeq lists it as uncharacterized. The record is from RefSeq and is a predicted model, not a curated record. The transcript is spliced from 4 exons. NCBI's taxonomy places the organism in Eukaryota, Viridiplantae, Streptophyta, Magnoliopsida, Malvales, Malvaceae.
CCAAUGGGAAGAUGCGGUUAGAUUCUAGAAUUCAAAGAAAGGAGAGGACCGUGAGCGAGUUGGAAUAAGUAGCGGGCAAAAACAAAAAUUCACGCGCACGGCAGGGUCGAGAAGUUUUGCUUCUGUAGCUGAGGCCGAGGAAGUUUUGUCAGGUCAAAAAGUUGGCCGCCUUCAGCUUUUUGAGAUUACGCAUAGGAAGAAAGAUGGAUCUCCUAUGACAUCCGAAGUUGGAGAAAUUAUGGAGAAACUAAAGGAGAAGAAGACGGAGUACGAAGCGAUUGCUUCGACUGAUAGUUCUGUUAAUCUUGAGAAUAUUGAUAACAGAAUUAUCAUUGAAGUUUUGAGUCCUGAAAGGUAUGGUCGGGUUUGAUUUCAAGGAUCUAGUGUUACCCCGACCCAAUAUUUUGGAUCCGGAUCCAAGCAAUACAUGCCUUCCGGGAGUCAAGCUCAAGCUGAAGUUCAGGGGUUAAGAGACCAGAUAGCUCAGAUGCAAGCGAGCACAGUUGAGCAAAUUGCCGAGGUUCAACUUAGAGCGGAGGCAGUAGAGAGGGAGGCAGCGGCAGCAGCGAUGGCAGUAAAGCAGAGCAGAAAGUACGAUGAGGUCCAGCUACAACUUUAGCAAAUGAUACAAAUGUUUCAGCAGUCGCAAAAGCAACCAUCUUAGACAUUAGUUUUCUCCUUGUAAGAAACGUUUUUAACAUUGUUACAUUUAACAUUAUUGUAAGAAUGUUUUGAGUUAUACUUAAUUUAUUAAUUCACAUCAUAGAUCUUUCGUUGAA